This 460-nucleotide ribosomal RNA is filed under the name uncultured bacterium. RNAcentral describes it as "partial 16S ribosomal RNA". It matches the Rfam family "Bacterial small subunit ribosomal RNA", at positions 338 to 795 of the family's 1533-position model. The record is from RNAcentral.
CCUACGGGUGGCAGCAGUGAGGAAUAUUGGUCAAUGGCCGAGAGCCUGAACCAGCCAAGUCGCGUGAGGGAUGACUGCCCUACGGGUUGUAAACUUCUUUUAUCGAGGAAUAAAGCGAACCACGUGUGGCUCUUUGUGUGUACUUUAUGAAAAAGGAUCGGCUAACUCCGUGCCAGCAGCCGCGGUAAUACGGAGGAUCCGAGCGUUAUCCGGAUUUAUUGGGUUUAAAGGGUGCGUAGAUGGGUGGUGAAGUCAGUUGUGAAAGUUUGCGGCUCAACCCCAAAAUUGCAAGUGAUACUGGAUGCCUUGAGUACAGGAGAGGUAUGCGGAAUGCGUGGUGUAGCGGUGAAAUGCAUAGAUAUCACGAAGAACUCCGAUUGCGAAGGCAGCAUACCAGAGUGCCACUGACACUGAUGCACGAAAGUGUGGGUAUCGAACAGGAUUAGAUACCCGGGUAGUC